Molecule: RNA transcript, 1860 nt
Organism: Coturnix japonica (Japanese quail)
Lineage: Eukaryota; Metazoa; Chordata; Aves; Galliformes; Phasianidae
Gene: ARMC7
Gene name: armadillo repeat containing 7
Source: RefSeq, a predicted model, not a curated record
ACAACAUGGCGGCCGGGGAGUAACGCCCACAACAUGGCGGCCGCCGGUGUCCGGAGCGCCCCGUUGUGCCCCGUGCCGGCGGCGCGGUCCAGCUGAUCGGCUGGUUCUGGUUCUCAGCUCGGGAUGGAGCUGGGCAGGUUGGAGUACCUGCAGGCCCUCGUCACGGAGUUCCAGGUGACAGACAGCCCAGAGGCCAGGCGGCAGGUGCUGGCCAACCUGGCCAACUUCGCCUACGACCCCAAGAACUACGAGUAUCUGCGGCAGCUCCAGGUGCUGGACCUGUUCCUCGACAUGCUGACGGAGGACGACGAGACCCUGGUGGAAUUCGCUAUGGGUGGUCUUUGCAACCUGUGCUUGGAUAAAACUAACAAAGACUAUAUCCUGGAGGCCAAUGGGGUAGAGCCCAUAAUAAACUGCCUCUCCAGCUCCAACGAAGAGACAGUCAUGUCAGCAGUCACAGCCCUGAUGUAUCUGACAACGCCGCAGUCGUGCCAGCAGACCACAGCUCUCCCGGUGGUGGAAUGCAUGCUUCGCUUCUCCCUGUCGGCCAGCAGAAGGCUGAGCAAUCUGGCCACGAUCUUCCUGGAGGAUUAUUGCACGCCCCUGCAGGUGGAAGAGGCCAGGAACCUGAGCAAACACACAGCGGUGGGGAUUCCUCUCCCGAAGGAUUGAAGCUGUCAGAGCAGCUUGGAGCUGCUGCGAGGAGCACCCCCUGUUUGCUCAGUUAUUCUUCAUAACAUCACUGCGGCUCCGGCCGCACCAGGACGAGGCACCGUGAGGUGAACCCCGCAACCCCCGCAUGAAGCCGAGCGGCCCCUGGCGGCACCACGGCCCCGAGUGGAACCUCCGGCCACAAGCGGGUGGAACUGCCGGCCUGGCCUUAGUGCGGGGCCAGGCGGCUCCGCUGUGCGCUGCGGGAACCUUCAUCGGACGGCUGGGCGCGCUCCAACUGCACUCAGUGUUUAGGAGCUGUAGCCUGCUCCGCUGCUCGCUUCUUUCAUAAAGCAGAUGUUGGACACUUCACACGGAGGCAGCACGUGGUGGUGCCCCAUCAGCUGCACUCACGCUCCUGUUCCGCUCCAUCCCAGCCCUCUCCAUUAGUGCAGGACAACUGAGAGCAGUGCAGAACCAGACCCACAAAUAAAACCCACGCAGGAAACAUUGCUUCAAAAUGUCUAUAUUAUUUACUGUAAGCAACAGUCCAGCUUCGUGAAAUUACAACACACACUUUUAAGGAUGAGGCUUUCACCCCAUGGUCAAGCACCAGCAUGAUCAUGCACAGCAUUGAAUCAGUUCUAAAAAAAAGAAAAAACCGCCCCGGAAUUUGUUCUUUAUUUCUACGAUCCACUCCACCUUCACCGAACAAAGCCCAGUCAAUGCCCUCCCAGCCUCAGGCCAGGUGACGCUGCUCAUCAGCCACUAUUUGGCACAUACCCUGCUUAAAAUGGUCCAGUAUCAAUGUAUUGUAAAGGCAGCAUGGUGUACACUAACCACUUCAAAUGGCACAGCAGGGCUCAAGGCAUUCACCCCACACAGACAAGGAGUUCCUUUGGAUCCCCACAGUUCACAUGUGGAAGAAGGGAUGGCUCUUGCUGAUCGUUUGCUGGCCUCUUUAACCACGUCUCUCGACCCUCGUACAGCGAAGGGGUUCUACAAACCUCAGGACAGAAACCCUCUAAGCACACUUAGGACCAAUCUACUCUCCUUUCAAUUACAUUACUAUACUUCAUAAAGCUUUCCCUCAAGUCUAUCACUAGAAAACACUCAUGUAACUUCCAGCAGAUCUAGGGGAAAAACACAGGACAAAAGUGGGAAAAAACCUUGAUCUCAAAAGACAGGGGAAAAAAAAAAAAAAAAAAA